GUUCAACAAUAUUCAAUAUCACGGUAAAAAUAUCAACAAAAUGUUAAGAAAUCAUUGUCAAAAACAAUUGUAUUCAAAGGCAAUUUCAAUAGUUGUUUUUUGUAUCAAUGAUUUGACUUUUGAGUAAAUUUUUUGCUAAUUUUGAUGUUCUUCACAUUCACCAACUUUGGGCAGUUCUGGACAAUGCAGAUAGAAUCCUAAUACUUUGGGAAAAUAAUGUAUAGAUAGUUGCCACGGAAUCCCUAUGUGCGACGUCGAAAUACACGCAUAAUCGCAAAAUUGUGCUUACAUUGGACAUCUACAUUUGCCAACAAAUGUUUGAAUUGGUGAUAUGCCCGCAUUUAACGCACCGUACUGCCUGCACCGCAUUUAUCGUGUCUACGCUGGACGUGGCGUUAUACAUAUUUUUUUCAUAAGUUUUUUCGCCAAAAUAUUUUUGAGGAAAGCUUUCCAGUUGGCAAUCCUUGGAUGCGUCCCAGCAAUGUGAACCCGACAGUUUUGAAAGCGAUCUGUAAAUGUAGUCUCAAAUUUCACAUUUUAAGUAAUUUAACUUGGAGCUAACUUCCAUUAAGACAGAAUCCGUACAUCUAUUCCGCUCUAUGGACUCAUAUCCGAAUUGUUCAAAUAACACUUGUGUAUAACUACUGUACCAUCUGGAGUUUUAGAUAGACAGUCGCUUCGCCAUAAUUUCAGUAUUUCUCAAUAUAUACACUAUUUAUUACUAUUUUCGAUAUAUUUUUUGUCACCGAAGAUCACAAAGCAAAUUUCAGAGGACACGUAUUUCCUUCCAUUGCAUCCUUUUAAAGAAGAAACUUAUUUGGCAUUAUUAAAAAUGACAUACAAAUCUCUCUCAAUAUACACACACUUAUAAUACCGUCACACAAAUUUCGCAAAACUUCCAUGAUUUAAGCACUGCAACGAAGUGAACAACGAAGUGAACGUAAAUAACGAAGGCGAAUGCGCGCAAGCCCCACAGACAGACAACACUCACGCGUCAAGUCAACUAUAAACAGGCCAAGUCAACCAAGUGCAACUUUUGCGCAUUACCGUUAGAGUGCAGAGCAACGUGUGACUUGUGCGACAACAACAACAACUGCUAUGCAAUGGUGCAACUAUAUAACGGGGUAUUAUAACGAAGAUACAAAAAUACAUAUAAACAUACUAACACCAGCUAGUAGUAGUCAGCAUCGAGCCUAACUGCAAUGCACGGCCUAACAUCGACAAACUAACGGCGCGUGCUGCCUCAGUGUGAGCGCCUCAAGGAGUUGCAUAUGAAAGAAGGUAAAGUAAAAAAAAACCGUUGGCUUUUAUGCACUUCAAUUGACAAAUUUAGUUCGACGAUGAGCCGGAUGCACAGGCGACGAUGACGACGACGACGACGACAAUCGUUUAAUGGUUAAGUGCUGAAUCGGGUGAGUUGGAGGGUGGCAACAAAUGUGCGAAUGCGCGGUUUGACCGGAAUUAAGUGGGGUAAAG
This is a long non-coding RNA of Zeugodacus cucurbitae (melon fly), 1476 nucleotides long. RefSeq lists it as uncharacterized. The transcript has 3 exons. The record is from RefSeq and is a predicted model, not a curated record. Lineage: Eukaryota; Metazoa; Arthropoda; Insecta; Diptera; Tephritidae.